UACCCUUGGCAUUCAGGGUGGACAGCAUCAGGACAGAAUUCAGGCUAGCCUCAGCUACAUAGCUGACUGCAGGCUGGGUGAGUCUACAUCAGACCCUGAAAAUUAAUGGAAGGCGUUUGGAAGGGAGACCAGGACACAUCCCCUUAAGUAGUGGCCCAGAGUCUCCGUGCUCUGGACCCAGGGCCUCACACCAAAGCUGGGUCUAGAUGAGAACCAGAGGUUGGAGGAUGUCACUCCAUGCAGUGAGAUACAUUGACUCCUGUCAACACCAAUCUACUUCAAAGAAGAUGAUCAGCAUUGAAAACUCCAUAUGGAGCUUACUUUGUGGCAAAAGUUAAGUUACUGGGCAAAGAAACUGCACUCUUCUCAUUUGCUGAAAGUCACUGUCCAAACUGGCCCAGUAGGACACAGGAAAGGUGACUGCAGAACUUUGACCAGACAAGCCCUCACCUCCCCUCUGACCCCAUCCACCUCUAAGAACUGGAAGAGACAACGGGAAUGGAGGAGCAACUCAGGGAAAGCUAGUGCAAUGGAAACUUCCAGAAAUGCACGAGGGAGACCCUAGCGAAGACUGCUCCUAGCAACAGGGAUAAGGGAUACAGAGCCUGAACUGGCCAUCUCCUGGAGCCGGACAAGACUUCCAGUGGAGGCCUUGGAACAGCAACCCAGCCACAAAAUCUUUGACUUACAAUCUGUCCUGCCUACAAGAUGUGCUGGGGUAGAGGCGACUUGGAAACUGUAGGGGUUCCCAAACAAACAGCUUGAGACCCAUGCUAUGGAAGGGAGUGCACCCCUGAAACUGCCUGGAAUGCCAGCCCCCCCUCAAAGAAACAAUGAAAGAAAGAAAUUCAAUUCAAUGAAAUGAUUCCUAAUGGUAUUCUGAUAUAUUCAUAGAUUGGUGACUAGCCCAACUGUCAGAGAGGCUUCAAUAAGCAACAGAUGCAGAGACCAAAAGCCAAACAUUAGGCAGAACUGAAGGAAUCCUCCAGAAGAGGAGGAAGGAUUGGAGGAGCCUGAGGGGUUAAAACCACCCUAAGAAAACCCACAGAAUCAACUAAUGUGGCCUCACGGGGCUCACAGAGACUGGAGACAAUCAGUUAAGACUGUAUGACUGACCAAGGCCCUCUGCAUACAUGUGACAGCUGCGUAGCUUGGUGUUCCUGUGGGACUCCAAGCAGUGGGAACAGGGAGUGUCUUUGUUUUCAGAACCUUUUUCCUCAUACUGAGUUGUCUCUUCAAGCCUUAAGAAAAGGGGAGGUACCUAAUCUUAUUGCAACUCAAUAUGCUGUAUUUGGUUGACA
Molecule: non-coding RNA, 1301 nt
Organism: Myodes glareolus (Bank vole)
Lineage: Eukaryota; Metazoa; Chordata; Mammalia; Rodentia; Cricetidae
Source: RefSeq, a predicted model, not a curated record